UACGUAGGGGGCUAGCGUUGUUCGGAAUUACUGGGCGUAAAGCGCGCGCAGGCGGUCUUCCAAGUCAGUUGUGAAAGCCCGGAGCUCAACUCCGGAAUUGCCAUUGAAACUGUUAGACUUGAGGAUGAGAGAGGUGAGUGGAAUUCCCAGUGUAGAGGUGAAAUUCGUAGAUAUUGGGAAGAACACCGGUGGCGAAGGCGGCUCACUGGCUCAUUACUGACGCUCAGGCGCGAUAGCGUGGGGAUCAAACAGG
RNAcentral lists this ribosomal RNA (253 nucleotides) under uncultured bacterium. RNAcentral's name for it is "partial 16S ribosomal RNA". It matches the Rfam family "Bacterial small subunit ribosomal RNA", at positions 524 to 776 of the family's 1533-position model. The record is from RNAcentral.